Molecule: ribosomal RNA, 441 nt
Filed under: uncultured bacterium
Lineage: Bacteria
Description: partial 16S ribosomal RNA
Rfam family: Bacterial small subunit ribosomal RNA
Source: RNAcentral
CCUACGGGCGGCUGCAGUGGGGGAUAUUGCACAAUGGGGGGAACCCUGAUGCAGCGACGCCGCGUGGGUGAAGGAGUGCUUCGGCAUGUAAAGCCCUAUCGGCAGGGAAGAAGCAAGACGGUACCUGACUAAGAAGCCCCGGCUAACUACGUGCCAGCAGCCGCGGUAAUACGUAGGGGGCGAGCGUUAUCCGGAUGCACUGGGUGUAAAGGGAGCGUAGACGGCGAUGCAAGCCAGGGGUGAAAGCCCGGGGCCCAACCCCGGGACUGCCCUUGGGACUGUGCGGCUAGAGUGCGGGAGGGGCAGGCGGAAUUCCUGGUGUAGCGGUGAAAUGCGUAGAUAUCAGGAGGAACACCGGCGGCGAAGGCGGCCUGCUGGAACGCGACUGACGUUGAGGCUCGAAAGCGUGGGGAGCGAACAGGAUUAGAUACCCGUGUAGUC